UACGGAGGAUCCGAGCGUUAUCCGGAUUUAUUGGGUUUAAAGGGUGCGUAGGCGGGAGGUCAAGUCAGCUGUGAAAUGUAUCUGCUUAACGGGUACACUGCAGUUGAAACUGGUUUUCUUGAGUGCGUAAGAGGCAGGCGGAAUUCGUUGUGUAGCGGUGAAAUGCUUAGAUAUGACGAGGAACUCCUAUUGCGAAGGCAGCUUGCUGGGUCGUUACUGACGCUGAUGCUCGAAGGUGCGGGGAUCAAACAGGAUUAGAUA
This 261-nucleotide ribosomal RNA is filed under the name uncultured prokaryote. Its description in RNAcentral is "partial 16S ribosomal RNA". It matches the Rfam family "Bacterial small subunit ribosomal RNA", at positions 524 to 784 of the family's 1533-position model. The record is from RNAcentral.